Molecule: long non-coding RNA, 486 nt
Filed under: Pongo abelii (Sumatran orangutan)
Lineage: Eukaryota; Metazoa; Chordata; Mammalia; Primates; Hominidae
Description: lincRNA
Source: RNAcentral
GUUCUUAGGAGAGUUGGACACAUUCAAAACACAAUAUGUGAUUAAGAAGAUUAAAGAUUAAUACUUAUUGAUGGAUUACUGUGUGCCAAACUUCCAACCGAAUCCUGACAAAUCCAUAAGAUGUGGAAACCACAGUUCACUGAGGUUGACAUUUCCGGGUUCAUACAACAAGGAUGGGCAUGAUUGUGAGGCCUCCUCACCCACAUGGAACUAGUUACCCAGCUAUCCCCCAAUGGGUUCGAGAUUCCCAUUUCAAGAGUGUAGAGUUCUACCCAGAAGGUGGCUGCGUGGACAGUGACUACAUUCUCAGCUCCAUGCCUAUUUGGAUGGUCUGAGGCCUUCACUCCUCAUACUUCCUGGAUGUGGUUGCGCCAGAGGGGAUGAUUUAGUGAGCAGAUGGUACCAAGAAAACCAAGGGUAUUGCAUCCAGCUGUGUGUACACAGAUUGGUGAAUUCAAGCCUCUGAUCUAGGAUCUGAAAUAAAAA